RNAcentral lists this ribosomal RNA (439 nucleotides) under uncultured bacterium. RNAcentral's name for it is "partial 16S ribosomal RNA". It matches the Rfam family "Bacterial small subunit ribosomal RNA", at positions 339 to 795 of the family's 1533-position model. The record is from RNAcentral.
CUACGGGCGGCUCCAGUGAGGAAUAUUGCACAAUGGAGGAAACUCUGAUGCAGCAACGCCGCGUGGAGGAUGACGCAUUUCGGUGUGUAAACUCCUUUUAUAUGUCAAGAAAAUGACGGUAGCAUAUGAAUAAGCACCGGCUAACUCCGUGCCAGCAGCCGCGGUAAUACGGAGGGUGCAAGUGUUACUCGGAAUCACUGGGCGUAAAGGACGCGUAGGCGGGAUAUCAAGUCAGGUGUGAAAUCCUACAGCUUAACUGUAGAACUGCACUUGAAACUGGUAACCUAGAGUAUGGGAGGGGGAGAUGGAAUUAGUGGUGUAGGGGUAAGAUCCGUAGAUAUCACUAGGAAUACCUAAAGCGAAGGCGAUCUCCUGGAACAUAACUGACGCUAAGGCGUGAAAGCGUGGGGAGCAAACAGGAUUAGAUACCCCCGUAGUC